AGAACGAACGUUGGCGGCGUGGAUUAGGCAUGCAAGUCGAACGAGAACCCCGCAAGGGGGGAAAGUGGCGAAAGGGGCAGUAAUGCAUGGGUAAUCUACCCUGGGGACGUGGAUAGCUAUCCUAACGGGUAGGUAAUACACGGCGAUUCGGCGCGGGGGCAUCUCCGUGCCGGGAAAUGAAUUUCGCCUCGGGAGGAACUCAUGUCGUAUUAGCUUGUUGGCGGGGUAACGGCCCACCAAGGCAAAGAUGCGUAGCGGGUGUGAGAGCACGACCCGCGCCACUGGCACUGAGACACUGGCCAGACACCUACGGGUGGCUGCAGUCGAGGAUCUUCGGCAAUGGGCGCAAGCCUGACCGAGCGACGCCGCGUGUGCGACGAAGGCCUUCGGUUGUAAGCACGUGUCGAGGGGAGGAAGCGAAAGGUGACCUAUCCUGGAGAAGCACGGCUAAGUUCGUGCAGCAGCCGC
Molecule: ribosomal RNA, 468 nt
Filed under: uncultured soil bacterium
Lineage: Bacteria
Description: bacterial SSU rRNA
Rfam family: Bacterial small subunit ribosomal RNA
Source: RNAcentral